AUAAUAAUAAAAAAAAGAAAACAGCAAGUAGAAAAGGAAGGCACAGAAAAAAUGAAAGCAUAAUAAUUCACUGAGGAAUCAGCAACCUCAGAAAUUCUAUUUGUUAAUUUUUCUAUAAGGGGCCCAGGAGAGGAAACUAUAAUAAAAUAAUAUUGUGGCCUUCAUCCUCAUGAGUCCUCACCUCCUCCUUCAGUGCAGGAACUUUCUUCUGGAAUAUUGCUGAGGAUCAACACCUUUCCUGCUCACUGGCCGUCCGGUUCAUGGUGGGAACACUUCUCUCCCCAGGGCUGGUUCCCACACUCAUGUCUGAAUAAGCCACGCAGUCUCUCAUUAAAACAAAAAAAAGUCGUUACAGAAGCCUCUUUUUGGGGGAGGCUACUGCAAACUCAGGGAACUCGCUGAACAACCUAUUUAUUGGAACUGACAAUUGUUCGCAAUGGGUUUCCCUACAGGACAGGCUGGUGUGGGGAGAUCUGGUGGUAAAGGCCAAGCACGUAGCACUUCUUCAGCACUGCAUUUACAGAUAGGAAAUGGGACAUGGCUUUCUUCCCAGGAAGAGCCUGUAUGUUUAUAUUACUCCCACAAAGGGAAAUCUGUAAAACCAGACCAUUUUGUCCUAGAGUCAUAUAAAGUCAUAUCAUUUGAUUUUCAGAAACACUUAGAAGAAAAGGACGACUGUAGGCCUGCUUUACUAUGUGCAUAGGUGGGUAGAAGUGAGGAGGGCAUAUUAUAAAAUGAAUUUGCAUUCCAUUGAGCCAACAUGGUUAUAUCAAAUAUUAAAUAUUUUAUUUAUUCAAGGACUACUAAGUGAUUGUGACAUCUAGAGGCCACAUUCCCAGUAAUUAAGAGCAAAUGCCAUAGCUAAUGCACAGGAGAGGGACAAGACUCAGAAGACUUUGGUUAUAAUUCCUAUUCGACCUCUCACUGGCUUUCCAUGUCCAUCUCUACAUAGACAAGGAGCCUGAGGGUAGAGACUGUGUCUCAUUUCUAAUUCUUCGUACUUGGAUUGUACCUGCAAAACAGGCACUCCACAAAUGCUUGUUCACUGAGUAUAUUAGGUGAAUCCACAUGGAACUGCCAGUGUUUUUGGUAAAAAAUAGUAAUCAAAUAUUACAAUUUCAUGUGACUCAACAUAAUAUUUCCAUCUAAUUUUGUCCACAUAUUGUAUGAAUUUGCCUUUCCCUAAAUGUGCUCAUGUUUCUGUGCCCUACUUUUUAAUUGAAAAGCCCUUUCUCCUGUCCUAUAUCGAUCAUAUUCCUUCCUUGAACAUUCUUGUGAAUUACUCAUUCCCAGGCACACCCAGCAUUUGCUAGCUGGUAUCUCUGUGUGUCCUCCUCUAAAUUGUAGUCAUAUUGCAUUUCCUCAGUGCCUACACAAACAUUUGUCAUAAUGUUGAAUUACCUAUCUAAGGAUAAAGUCACUAUAGCUCUGAAACCCAGUUUCCUUCCUAGAGAAAGAAGAUAAUCCCUGCCUGGCCAAUAUAACAGAACUGUUGAGAGUUAACAUAUGAGGACUUAAAAUGAUUAACAGUAAAGCCUCCAGGUUGUUCUUCUUAAAGGGGGUGGUUUGAAAAUGUUAAGUGCUAUUAAUAGGCAAUUUGUUUUCAGCUCAAUCUCAGGGAGGGAUUGACUUCCUAGCCAAAACAUUUCAAAAGAUGCAUCCAGUUGACAGACUGAAAAGAGAAUGUCGAUCACAUAGGGAGGACACACAAAGAGAACACAGACAGAGUCCUUGUGUUGAAGAGAAAGAGACCAAGAAUUGUCACAUGCACAAUUAUUCCCUUUAACUAGUAACAGGGGCACACAGCACUUGAUAGGGUGAACUGAAAGAAAUCAAAGGCUGCAUGUGAGAGCAAACUAAGGACUGCUCUGUGUACAAAUGAAGAACUUUUGGGGGAAUAAUUAUAACAGCAUUAAAGUAAGGAGAGGGGAGGGGAAAAGGAGGCAAGGAGGGAGAAGUGAGGGCUAAGAAUAUCAUAGGACACACAAGAGAGUAUCACAAGUACUUGGAGAAGAUUCUAGACUCAAUGAAGAGUGGCAGACUACUCCCUUAGGCACAAUAGUUAAGGGAUAUUUCUUAGUUCUUAAUUGGGAGAAGCUAGAGACUCAUAAUAAAUAUGUGACUUUUGGCAAGUUGCUGAAUGUUACUUUAAAAACUGGUAUUAAUAGUUCCUAUCUUAUAGAGCUGAUAUAAACAUGAAAUAAGACAUUGAACAUAAACACACUUACAAAGUGCUCAGCAUAUGGCAAGUAUAUAAUACAUAUUGUAAUAGCUCUUAUUAUUUAACAUUGUUUGGCAAACUAUAUGGUCAUUCUCAAGUAAUGUUUUUACUAUAUUCAAGAAUUGUCCAGUUGAAGAACUCUCCAGGAAGAGUCUUGAACUUUACGUAUUUGAUCUAUUAUAAGCAAAACCAGUAAACUGAAUACUGAAGAAGCAGUAUCUAUAGAUGGUUCUAUGACAGAAAUGUUCUCCACCUAUAUUUAUCCACUAUGACAGGCAUUAACCACAUGAAGCCACAGGGCACUUGAAUGUGCUGCUAAGAAAGCAAUUUUUAAAAUUUAAUUAUUUCAAUUUAAAUGGACACAUACCAUAUUGGACAGUGUUGCCCCCCAUACGUACCAAAAGACCUUAUACAGGUCACUGUGGCCUAGUGGGGCUCUGGAUUAGGUGACCUGGAUUUGAAACCAGAAUCUUCCCUUUAGAAGCUGAACUACAUUAAGCAAGUAACUCAGCCUCCCAUGCCUCAGUUUCAACUUUUGCAAUCUGAGGUUGAUAACAGUAUCUACUUUAUUGGCUUGUAAAUUAAAUUAGAGAAUGCAAAUAAAGCAAUGGUUCUCAAAGUUCAGCAUGCCAUCAGUAUCACCUGGAAGGCGAAGACACCAAUUGCUGGGUUCAUCCUCUAGGUUUUUUACUCAACAGGUCUGAGGGAGUCAGAUAAUUUGCAUUCCUAAUGAGUUCCCAGGUGAUGCUCAUGUUGCCGGUCUGGGGACCACACUUGGAAAAACACUGUUAUAAGCCAUUCAGUAUGGUGCCUGAUACACAAUGAGAACUCAAUAGUGUUAUUAUGAUAAGCAUCUUGAUGGUGUACAUCAGUAGGGCUUUUGCAAAAAAAAAUUCACACUUUAUUAGAAAUCUCUAGCCCAUUUUUUGACACAUACUUUUGAUAAAUGUUUAUGGGUCACCUACAAAGGGCAAGACACCCCCACUGUGUUGAGUGACCAGCUGUCAAAGUCGGUUUGAAGCAGGGUUUCAGAGCACCAGUUACAGGACCAUUAUUAUUACCACCUGAAAUAUUUUUCACCAUUUCAACUUCCCACAAAACAUACAGAAAAAAAAAAAUUAGGUUUCUCUCCAAUGUGUCAUCUCCAUUAGAAAGAUUGUGAAGGGCCUAUAAACAAUAAGUGGAAGGGAUGUGAAAAUAGAUCUAGAUUCCAUACUUGUUGGCUCUUUUAUCAACUUCCUGAGAUCACUGGGUGUGAUGGAUUUUUUUUUUUUUUUUUUGAGACGGAGUCUCGCUCUGUUGCCCAGGCUGGGGUGUAGUGGUUUGAUCUCGGCUCACUGCAAGCUCCACCUCCUGG
This 3578-nucleotide long non-coding RNA is filed under the name Homo sapiens (human). Its description in RNAcentral is "non-protein coding lnc-HAO2-10:1". The record is from RNAcentral. Lineage: Eukaryota; Metazoa; Chordata; Mammalia; Primates; Hominidae.